UUUUUUUUGCUCUCUGUCUUUAAAAUUCAUUUGCUUUCAUUCUGCAUAUUUUGAGAGAUGGGUUGUGGAAAUUCUUCUGCAGCCAGUACUGCUGGAGGUCAACCCGAAGCUGCCAAAGGCGACUUUAAAAUCUCUCCAUCGGAAAUUAUGAAGGAGGUAUGCAGAGGAGGUGGGAGAAUGUUCUAGAAAUGUGCCCCUAGUGUGGCUCAGUUGGUCCUGAGGCUACCUGGAACUGCAUGUCAAUCAACUCUUCAGCUGUAAGCAGUGGAGGGUGGAGCCCAGGAGCGAGGACGCUUUUCCAGAGGAUGAGAAGAGGAAGAACUAUGGAGGAGUGUAUGUUGGAUUACCGGCUGACCUCAGCAAUGUAAAUACAGCCCCGACUCCGUCCACACAUAAAG
Long non-coding RNA from Tachysurus vachellii, 398 nucleotides. RefSeq lists it as uncharacterized. The record is from RefSeq and is a predicted model, not a curated record. The transcript has 4 exons. Lineage: Eukaryota; Metazoa; Chordata; Actinopteri; Siluriformes; Bagridae.